UACGUAGGGGGCGAGCGUUAUCCGGAUUCAUUGGGCGUAAAGCGCGCGUAGGCGGCCGCCUAAGCGGGACCUCUAACCCCGGGGCUCAACCCCGGGCCGGGUCCCGGACUGGGCGGCUCGAGUGCGGUAGAGGAGAGCGGAAUUCCCGGUGUGGCGGUGGAAUGCGCAGAUAUCGGGAAGAACACCGAUGGCGAAGGCAGCUCUCUGGGCCGUCACUGACGCUGAGGCGCGAAAGCUGGGGGAGCGAACAGG
Molecule: ribosomal RNA, 252 nt
Filed under: uncultured bacterium
Lineage: Bacteria
Description: partial 16S ribosomal RNA
Rfam family: Bacterial small subunit ribosomal RNA
Source: RNAcentral